Long non-coding RNA from Hippocampus zosterae (dwarf seahorse), 634 nucleotides. RefSeq lists it as uncharacterized. The transcript is spliced from 2 exons. The record is from RefSeq and is a predicted model, not a curated record. NCBI's taxonomy places the organism in Eukaryota, Metazoa, Chordata, Actinopteri, Syngnathiformes, Syngnathidae.
ACUAUUAUUGAAUGUUUUCAAGAUAGUUCAAGGUUUAAGAGCAACAAACGCAUGGAGUGCAAGUUUUCGUCACACCAUGAAACGGUCCACUGAAUAAAGGAAGACGUCAACUCGAUCAUCAUCUCGUCUUCAACUUUACCGUUAUUGUGUCCGGUUUGAUUCUCAAUUGACAGAAAAUCCGUUUAUCAAAAUUAUGAGGUGAAAAAGUCUACGGUGAUUAAACGCCAAAGAACUCUGAUCGAAAAAAAGAGGCUAUGUAUUACAUAAUAUAGAGUUUUCCCAUCGUACCACACUGACUUUAGCGUUUGGUUCCUGCAGAAGUCAUAGUAGACGAAAAUAUAGAAUUAAAAUGCUUCCCAAAGUCGUAGAUAUUGUUGUUUGUUAUUAUUGUUAUUUUUAUUUUUAUCAUCUGCUGUGUAUUUGAAUAUACUCUGUAGUUACCUAUUUUCAUUUCAGGCAGCUGUCCACCCACAAAUAUUUUGUCUCUCUUCUUUAUUAUUUAUUUACCUAAUAAAACAAACACGGGAGGAAACAAACAAUAGGUGUUUGGACAACAUGCAGUUACUUUCUGUCUUGACCUCAGGACUGUUUGUUCAAAUGUCACUGAUCAAUUAAAAAGAAUCAUUCAAUGUUG